RNAcentral lists this ribosomal RNA (253 nucleotides) under uncultured bacterium. RNAcentral's name for it is "partial 16S ribosomal RNA". It matches the Rfam family "Bacterial small subunit ribosomal RNA", at positions 524 to 776 of the family's 1533-position model. The record is from RNAcentral.
UACGUAGGGGGCAAGCGUUGUCCGGAAUCAUUGGGCGUAAAGAGCGUGUAGGCGGUCCGGUCAGUCGGUUGUGAAAGUCAAGGGCUCAACCCUUGAAUGCCGGCCGAUACUGCCGGGCUAGAGUCCGGAAGAGGUGAGUGGAAUUCCUGGUGUAGCGGUGAAAUGCGCAGAUAUCAGGAGGAACACCGAUGGCGAAGGCAGCUCGCUGGGACGUGACUGACGCUGAGACGCGAAAGCGUGGGGAGCAAACAGG